GCGCUGUGCCGGGUGUGACACUACGGUAGGUGUAGGUUAGGAUGUGUCUUCUGGUCGUGGUCUACUAGUUGGGGCCGAGGGAAGAAGAUGACGAUUCCAAUUUCAGUAGCCACUCUCUAGGCUUAUGAACUGAAAGACCAAGGAGCACAAUUUCCGAGUUUCAAAGAUACUUUCAAACUGAAAGGAACUGUUCGCCAGCUGCUCGCGAAGUGGCCCAUGUGACCCCUAGUGAACGGUCUAAACUUCCGCUAGAUGCUUUGGGAAUUCGUAAAGCGACUGCGUGCGCGGCAGCCAAGCCACAGCUUUACAGGGUUCGCCUUCUGUGUGGGAACGCAGCUUUUCCCGAGAAAUUGGGUUAGGGAUUAAAGAGAAGAACUGCAUCCUUUUUACUGCCCUUUUUCCACGUCUGUCCUGGGCUUAGGGCCCUCCUCAGAGGCCAGAGGGGUAGGCGAGUCCGGGGCGGUAGGGGGCUGCGUCCGGAAGUCCAGGCUGCGUUCUGUCCACCCUGCCCACCCUUAGGGGGCAGGACAGGAAUAAGGUCACCUCACCAAAGAGGCCCAUCAACAUGGAAGAAUAUUUCAGUGAAUCUUGACUCACCAAGCUCAGUGACUUUUCAUUGAAAAGGGUGAGAAUUAUUAAGGAGAUAUUGCACAAUUAAUGUUCAUGUCAAGUUUGAAAAAAAAA
Molecule: long non-coding RNA, 684 nt
Filed under: Homo sapiens (human)
Lineage: Eukaryota; Metazoa; Chordata; Mammalia; Primates; Hominidae
Description: MAD2L1 divergent transcript
Source: RNAcentral